This 433-nucleotide ribosomal RNA is filed under the name uncultured bacterium. RNAcentral describes it as "partial 16S ribosomal RNA". It matches the Rfam family "Bacterial small subunit ribosomal RNA", at positions 29 to 507 of the family's 1533-position model. The record is from RNAcentral.
AGCGAACGCUGGCGGCAGGCCUAACACAUGCAAGUCGAACGAACUCUUCGGAGUUAGUGGCGGACGGGUGAGUAACACGUGGGAACGUGCCUUUUGGUUCGGAAUAACUCAGGGAAACUUGUGCUAAUACCGAAUGUGCCCUUCGGGGGAAAGAUUUAUCGCCAUUAGAGCGGCCCGCGUCUGAUUAGCUAGUUGGGGAGGUAACGGCUCACCAAGGCGACGAUCAGUAGCUGGUCUGAGAGGAUGACCAGCCACACUGGGACUGAGACACGGCCCAGACUCCUACGGGAGGCGGCAGUGGGGAAUCUUGCGCAAUGGGCGAAAGCCUGACGCAGCCAUGCCGCGUGAAUGAUGAAGGUCUUAGGAUUGUAAAAUUCUUUCACCGGGGACGAUAAUGACGGUACCCGGAGAAGAAGCCCCGGCUAACUUCGUG